UGAGGAAUUUUCCGCAAUGAGUGAAAGCUUGACGGAGCAAUGCCGCGUGGAGGAUGAAGGCCUUAGGGUUGUAAUCUCCUUUUCUCAUUGAAGAAUUUUUGACGGUAUUUGAGGAAUAAGCAUCGGCUAACUUCGUGCCAGCAGCCGCGGUAAUACGAGGGAUGCAAGCGUUAUCCGGAAUUAUUGGGCGUAAAGAGUUUGUAGGUGGUCCAAUGUGUUUAAUGUUAAAUAUUAAAGCUUAACUUUGAGUAUGCAUUGAAAACUGUUGGACUUGAGUAUGGUAGAGGUAAAGGGAAUUUCCAGUGUAGCGGUGAAAUGCGUAGAUAUUGGAAAGAACACCAAUGGCGAAAGCACUUUACUAGGUUAAUACUGACACUGAGAAACGAAAGCUAAGGUAGCU
This 400-nucleotide ribosomal RNA is filed under the name uncultured bacterium. Its description in RNAcentral is "bacterial SSU rRNA". It matches the Rfam family "Bacterial small subunit ribosomal RNA", at positions 355 to 770 of the family's 1533-position model. The record is from RNAcentral.